Molecule: ribosomal RNA, 774 nt
Filed under: uncultured Neocallimastigales
Lineage: Eukaryota; Fungi; Neocallimastigomycota; Neocallimastigomycetes; Neocallimastigales
Description: partial large subunit ribosomal RNA
Rfam family: Eukaryotic large subunit ribosomal RNA
Source: RNAcentral
UACUAGAGUAGCACUCGCAUAUCAAUAAGCGGAGGAAAAGAAACUAACAAGGAUUCCCCUAGUAACGGCGAGUGAAGCGGGAAGAGCUCAAAUUUGAAAUCUUAAAGGGUUUCCCUUUACGAAUUGUAGUUUAAAGAAGUGUUUUCUGUUGAGGUUUUGGUAAAAGUUCUUUGGAAUAGGACAUCAUAGAGGGUGAGAAUCCCGUAUUUGACCUUUACUUUCAACUUUGUGAUACACUUUCAAAGAGUCGGAUUGUUUGGGAAUGCAGUCCAAAAUGGGUGGUAAAUUUCAUCUAAAGCUAAAUAUUGGCGAGAGACCGAUAGCGAACAAGUACCGUGAGGGAAAGAUGAAAAGAACUUUGAAAAGAGAGUUAAACAGUACGUGAAAUUGUCAAAAGGGAAGCGUUUGACACCAGUGUUGUUUUUCUGAAAAUCAAUUAAAGAACUGUUUAUGCUAAGUUGUUUAGACUUUAUCAGCUAUCUGUUUAGUUUUGAGCUUUUCUUUAAUGCACUUUUCAGUUAACAAGUCAACAUCAAUUUCUUUUGCUGUAAAAAAGCUUGAGGAAGGUGGCUUGAGAUUCGUCUUAAGUGUUUAUAGCCUCUUGCCUAUGCAGUCGGAGAGAUUGAGGUCUGCAGCGUAGAUCCUUCGGGGCUAAAUGCAUUUGUGCUAAGUUAUAGCAUUUUAUAGACAACUUGUUGACCAUGAUUUGUCUUGUAGCUUACUCGCUUAUGUUAUUUUACCUACGCUUAGGAUGUUGAUCUCUCACAGUCGAGC